This 425-nucleotide ribosomal RNA is filed under the name Gulella laevigata. Its description in RNAcentral is "partial 16S ribosomal RNA". Lineage: Eukaryota; Metazoa; Mollusca; Gastropoda; Stylommatophora; Streptaxidae. The record is from RNAcentral.
AAUCUUAUGGUUUAAUAUAAGACAAUUUCUGCCCAAUGAUUUUUUUUAAUGGCCGCAGUACCUUGACUGUGCUAAGGUAGCAUAAUAAAUUGGCUUUUAAAUGAAGUCUGGAAUGAAAGAACACUUGAGUAAAGAUUGUCUUUACUUUGUUUUAUUGAAUUUUUUUAUUAAGUGAAAAUACUUAAAUUAUAUUAGAAAGACGAGAAGACCCUUAGAAUUUUUAGAAUUUUUUUACUUUUACUUUUUGUUGGGGUGACACAUUAACAUUUUUAACUUUUUUUUUAACUAGACAGAUUUUUCAAGAUAGAGAAAAUUACCUUAGGGAUAACAGCAUAAUUUUUUUUUAAGAUUAUGACCUCGAUGUUGGACUAGGAACCUAAUAAUUAGUAAUUAAAUUGGUUAGUUCUGUUCGAACUUUUUUUCCU